Molecule: ribosomal RNA, 638 nt
Filed under: uncultured bacterium
Lineage: Bacteria
Description: bacterial SSU rRNA
Rfam family: Bacterial small subunit ribosomal RNA
Source: RNAcentral
AAGUUUUAGUGACUGAGUGGCGGACGGGUGAGUAACGCGUGGGUAACCUGCCUCACACAGGGGGAUAACAGUUGGAAACGGCUGCUAAUACCGCAUAAGCGCACAGUACCGCAUGGUACAGUGUGAAAAACUCCGGUGGUGUGAGAUGGACCCGCGUCUGAUUAGCUAGUUGGCAGGGCAACGGCCUACCAAGGCGACGAUCAGUAGCCGACCUGAGAGGGUGACCGGCCACAUUGGGACUGAGACACGGCCCAAACUCCUACGGGAGGCAGCAGUGGGGAAUAUUGCACAAUGGGGGGAACCCUGAUGCAGCGACGCCGCGUGAGCGAAGAAGUAUUUCGGUAUGUAAAGCUCUAUCAGCAGGGAAGAAGAAAUGACGGUACCUGACUAAGAAGCACCGGCUAAAUACGUGCCAGCAGCCGCGGUAAUACGUAUGGUGCAAGCGUUAUCCGGAUUUACUGGGUGUAAAGGGAGCGCAGGCGGAAGGCUAAGUCUGAUGUGAAAGCCCGGGGCUCAACCCCGGUACUGCAUUGGAAACUGGUCAUCUAGAGUGUCGGAGGGGUAAGUGGAAUUCCUAGUGUAGCGGUGAAAUGCGUAGAUAUUAGGAGGAACACCAGUGGCGAAGGCGGCUUACUGGA